GGAAAUUACCGGGCUUGAGAUCAGUGGCGGCAGGCAGGAAUCGUGGUGUAGGCGGUGAAAUGCAUAGAUAUCACGAGGAACUCCGAUUGCGAAGGCAGCUUGCCAUACUGCGACUGACACUGAAGCACGAAAGGCGUGGGUAUCAAACAGGAUUAGAUACCCUGGUAGUCCACGCAGUAAACGAUGAUUACUAGGAGUUUGCGAUAUACCGUCAAGCUUCCACAGCGAAAGCGUUAAGUAAUCCACCUGGGGAGUACGCCGGCAACGGUGAAACUCAAAGGAAUUGACGGGGGCCCGCACAAGCGGAGGAACAUGUGGUUUAAUUCGAUGAUACGCGAGGAACCUUACCCGGGAUUGAAAUGUAGAUGACGGAUGGUGAAACCGUCUUCCCUUCGGGGCUUCUAUGUAGGUGCUGCAUGGUUGUCGUCAGCUCGUGCCGUGAGGUGUCGGCUUAAGUGCCAUAACGAGCGCAACCCACAUCGGUAGUUGCUAACAGUUUUCGCUGAGGACUCUACCGAGACUGCCGUCGUAAGGCGUGAGGAAGGUGUGGAUGACGUCAAAUCAGCACGGCCCUUACAUCCGGGGCGACACACGUGUUACAAUGGGAGGGACAAAGGGCAGCUACCGGGCGACCGGAUGCGAAUCUCUAAACCCUUCCCCAGUUCGGAUCGGAGUCUGCAACUCGACCCCGUGAAGCUGGAUUCGCUAGUAAUCGCGCAUCAGCCAUGGCGCGGUGAAUACGUUCCCGGGCCUUGUACACCCCGCCCGUCAAGCCAUGGGAGUCGGGGGUUCAUGAAGGGCGUAACCGCAAGGGGCGCACUAGGGUAAUACCGGCGCCUUUUUUAAGUCGUAACAAGGUAGCC
This 863-nucleotide ribosomal RNA is filed under the name uncultured bacterium. RNAcentral's name for it is "bacterial SSU rRNA". It matches the Rfam family "Bacterial small subunit ribosomal RNA", at positions 628 to 1501 of the family's 1533-position model. The record is from RNAcentral.